GAUGAAGAACGUAGCGAAAUGCGAUAAGUAGUGUGAAUUGCAGAAUUCAGUGAAUCAUCGAAUCUUUGAACGCACAUUGCGCCCCUUGGUAUUCCAUGGGGCAUGCCUGUUCGAGCGUCAUUUGUACCUUCAAGCUCUGCUUGGUGUUGGGUGUUUGUCCUUGCUCUAGUGGCGGGACUCGCCUUAAAGUAAUUGGCAGCCAGUGUUUUGGUUUUGAAGCGCAGCACAAGUCGCGAUUCAAGUCUAUACGCUAGUUUCUACAAGUCUUUUAUCACUUUUGACCUCGGAUCAGGUAGGGAUACCCGCUGAACUUAAGCAUAUCAAUAAGCGGAGGA
Molecule: unclassified non-coding RNA, 335 nt
Filed under: soil metagenome
Description: partial contains 5.8S ribosomal RNA, internal transcribed spacer 2, and large subunit ribosomal RNA
Rfam family: 5.8S ribosomal RNA (bases 1-120)
Source: RNAcentral